This 254-nucleotide ribosomal RNA is filed under the name uncultured bacterium. RNAcentral's name for it is "partial 16S ribosomal RNA". It matches the Rfam family "Bacterial small subunit ribosomal RNA", at positions 524 to 777 of the family's 1533-position model. The record is from RNAcentral.
UACGUAGGUGGCAAGCGUUGUCCGGAUUUACUGGGCGUAAAGAGCGCGCAGGCGGUCGUGCAAGUCGCGUGUGAAAGCCCCCGGCUCAACUGGGGAGGGUCACGCGAUACUGCUCGACUUGAAGGCAGGAGAGGGAAGCAGAAUUCCCGGUGUAGUGGUGAAAUGCGUAGAUAUCGGGAGGAAUACCAGUGGCGAAGGCGGCUUCCUGGCCUGUUCUUGACGCUGAGGCGCGAAAGCUAGGGUAGCAAACGGGG